Molecule: long non-coding RNA, 699 nt
Filed under: Ananas comosus (pineapple)
Lineage: Eukaryota; Viridiplantae; Streptophyta; Magnoliopsida; Poales; Bromeliaceae
Description: long non-coding RNA (ACOM_LNC035661)
Source: RNAcentral
AAUACAUAACUAAGCCUCCGUUUGGUUGGGAGUUAAGAGGUGGAAUAACCUCUUAACCCCCAUUUUAUUCCCAAAUAUUUCUAAAAAUGGGUGGGGUUAGCUAAUUCCAGCUAACCUAGCUAACCCCACCUAACUUCACCAAACCCCAACCAAACACUAUUUUCUAUUUAUAAUAAUUUACUAUCCUUCUUAUCCCACCUACUCCAACCAAACAUUAUUUUUCACUAUUCUGAACUAACUCCAACUCCUAGCCAAACAUAAAAAUACUAACCCCAUCUUAAUCCUAAACUUAACCCUAUCCCUAAAAUAACUAAUUUUUCCUUAAUCCCGAACCAAACGGUAGCUAAGAGUUUAUCCAUUCAUCAUAUUUUUUUUAAAAAAAAUAUUUUUAUUAUAUUUUUAUUUAUAAAAAAACAUAAUUAAGUAGCUAUAGAUGGUAUGGUGUGAUGUGGUGUCACUGUCAAAUUCUAGACCGUUGAUUAUGGAAUAUCUGUAGCAGUGCCGACAAAGUGAAGGGCGUGUGUUUUCUGUACAUCAAAUCAACCAAUCAUAUCAGGUGGAGAGAGAUGUUGGACCAAUCAGAUUCGCUGUUUCAAGUCCAGCCUUGCUGUUCUCUUUACCAUUCCUUUAUAUCGUCAUUCGUCAUCGUAGCGUCAUCUAGUCGUCAUCCAAUAAGUAAAAUUAUACACUAACACCUUC